AAAGAAGAGUGAUCAGGAUAGUUGCUGUUAGAGGUGGCAAUUUGUGUUUAUGUCUCGUAAUCGUGUCGACAAGAUUUCAAUACGAACAUGAUUAUAGGGAACACAAACAUGACAUGAUUAAUAAAUGUGUCAGGAUUCCUCAAUAUGUAUACGAAUCUGUUUAUUAAACGUAUUACCUGUUUAACAUGAUUAUUAAAUAUGUCAUGUC
This 208-nucleotide long non-coding RNA is filed under the name Elaeis guineensis (African oil palm). RNAcentral's name for it is "long non-coding RNA (EGUI_LNC045160)". Lineage: Eukaryota; Viridiplantae; Streptophyta; Magnoliopsida; Arecales; Arecaceae. The record is from RNAcentral.